GGGGAUGUAGCUCAGUGAGAGUGCUUGCCUAACACACAGGAGGGUCCUGAGUUUGAUCCCCAGCAUUGCUU
This 71-nucleotide transfer RNA is filed under the name Urocitellus parryii (Arctic ground squirrel). Its description in RNAcentral is "Spermophilus parryii (Arctic ground squirrel) tRNA". It matches the Rfam family "tRNA". Rfam says of the family: Transfer RNA (tRNA) molecules are approximately 80 nucleotides in length. Their secondary structure includes four short double-helical elements and three loops (D, anti-codon, and T loops). The record is from Rfam by way of RNAcentral. RNAcentral also lists the same sequence under 1 other name. Lineage: Eukaryota; Metazoa; Chordata; Mammalia; Rodentia; Sciuridae.